GAUGUGUUACAUCGCUUAUAAUGAUUGGAAAAUCUGUUUGUACUUCAUGUCAGAAACAGUGCGAGCUCUUGGAGUACAUCUGUACAUCAGAAAUAUACCGGGGCAUCACAUUACUGUCCGCAUCCACUGUAGAUAGUAUAUAUAAUGGGUUCUAUAUUGUUUUUUUAUCGAGUCGCGCCUCGCCUCGCCGUGCCACUCGCGUCCGAGGAAGACACGGAAGCAGCGGGGCAGCGGGGAUGAACCCGAGAGAGUGGAAGAGCUCCGGAGAACAUCUACGCGGUGUGUCGAUGCACCUUACGAGAGAAUAAGACCAGCAAGCAAGGCAACUGCAAUGAAGCAUCAAGAAAGACAUGAGCAGGCCAGCCACCCUGAGACUGAUAAUUCAUGAGAAAACAUUUCUGUCACUAUAAAGUGGAGGGUGAGCAAAGGUGGUGGCCACGUUUUGGAGCAGCAUCUGGGUUUUGCAGAUGGCUAUGUAUUCUUUGGCUGUUUGUCUUUUUCCUCAUUAUGUUUCUGUUGCCUAAAGAUUCUUUGUGAGGAUGAAUCCAGAGGACACAACAUAACGCACUGCAAAACAUCCUAAGA
This is a long non-coding RNA of Onychostoma macrolepis, 585 nucleotides long. RefSeq lists it as uncharacterized. The transcript has 3 exons. Lineage: Eukaryota; Metazoa; Chordata; Actinopteri; Cypriniformes; Cyprinidae. The record is from RefSeq and is a predicted model, not a curated record.